GCUAUUUUGGCAGAUUAGUGCAAUAAAUUUAGAAUUUAUUUAUGUAGAUGUAAGUUACAAAUAGUA
RNAcentral lists this transfer RNA (66 nucleotides) under Bactrocera tsuneonis (Japanese orange fly). Its description in RNAcentral is "tRNA-Leu". Lineage: Eukaryota; Metazoa; Arthropoda; Insecta; Diptera; Tephritidae. The record is from RNAcentral.